GUGCAGUGAUGAACAUUUUUCUGUGUACCAGAGGAGUCUCCUGUGACGGUAACACAAUCCCUCUAAGAAGUUCUGAGCUU
Molecule: small nucleolar RNA, 80 nt
Filed under: Theobroma cacao (cacao)
Lineage: Eukaryota; Viridiplantae; Streptophyta; Magnoliopsida; Malvales; Malvaceae
Description: Small nucleolar RNA U61
Rfam family: Small nucleolar RNA U61
Source: Rfam by way of RNAcentral